UACGAGGGGGGGCAAGUGUUGUUCGGAAUCACUGGGCGUAAAGGGGAGCGUAGGCGGGCUUUUAAGUUAGGUGUUUAAUCCCGGGGCCCAACCCCGGACCGGCACCUAAAACUGGGAGUCUUGAAUAGUGGAGAGGUCAGUGGAAUUGGGGGUGUAGCGGUGGAAUGCGUAGAGAUCCCCAAGAACACCAGUUGCGAAGGCGGCUGACUGGACACAUAUUGACGCUGAGGCUCGAAAGCAUGGGGAGCAAACAGG
This 255-nucleotide ribosomal RNA is filed under the name uncultured bacterium. RNAcentral describes it as "partial 16S ribosomal RNA". It matches the Rfam family "Bacterial small subunit ribosomal RNA", at positions 524 to 776 of the family's 1533-position model. The record is from RNAcentral.